Myotis lucifugus (little brown bat) is the source of this 137-nucleotide small nucleolar RNA. Ensembl annotates it as small nucleolar RNA SNORA8. Lineage: Eukaryota; Metazoa; Chordata; Mammalia; Chiroptera; Vespertilionidae. The record is from Ensembl.
UUGACUCCAUGGUAUCUGCAUUCAGCAGUUAUUCCUGCGGGGUGUUCAAAGGACAGUGUGAUAUAAAUUCAGUAUCUGGCAUCGCUGGUUUUCUUGGCUUUGUGUAUGUUAAAACUGGUAUUUUUAUUGGUACACUA